CCUACGGGUGGCAGCAGUAGGGAAUAUUGCACAAUGGGGGAAACCCUGAAGCAGCAACGCCGCGUGGAUGAUGAAGGUUUUAGGAUCGUAAACUCAUGUUGUGAGAGAAGAUAAUGACUGUAUCUCACUAAUCACCACCGGCUAACUACUUGCCAGCAGCCGCGGGAAUACGGAGGGUGCAAGCGUUACUCGGAAUCACUGGGCGUAAAGGGUGCGGAGGCGGGCUUGUAAGUCAGAUGUGAAAGCCUGUAGCUUAACUACAGGACUGCAUUGGAAACUAUGAGUCUAGAGUGUGGGAGAGGGAAGUGGAAUUCUUGGUGUAGGGGUAAAAUCCGUAGAUAUAAAGAGGAAUACUCAUGGCGAAGGCGACCUACUGGAACAUUACUGACGCUCAUGCACGAAAGCGUGGGGAGCAAACAGGAUUAGAUACCCUUGUAGUC
This 440-nucleotide ribosomal RNA is filed under the name uncultured bacterium. RNAcentral's name for it is "partial 16S ribosomal RNA". It matches the Rfam family "Bacterial small subunit ribosomal RNA", at positions 338 to 795 of the family's 1533-position model. The record is from RNAcentral.